Molecule: non-coding RNA, 73 nt
Organism: Candidatus Pacearchaeota archaeon RBG_13_36_9
Lineage: Archaea; Nanobdellati
Source: Rfam
AGCCCCGUAGUCUAGUGGUCAAGGAUCCGGCCCUCUGGAGGCUGGGACCCAGGUUCGAAUCCUGGCGGGGCUA